UCUCGGCAACGGAUAUCUCGGCUCUCGCAUCGAUGAAGAACGUAGCGAAAUGCGAUACUUGGUGUGAAUUGCAGAAUCCCGUGAACCAUCGAGUCUUUGAACGCAAGUUGCGCCCGAGGCCAUCAGGCCGAGGGCACGUCUGCCUGGGCGUCACACGC
This 158-nucleotide ribosomal RNA is filed under the name Ficus benjamina (weeping fig). RNAcentral describes it as "5.8S ribosomal RNA". It matches the Rfam family "5.8S ribosomal RNA". Rfam says of the family: 5.8S ribosomal RNA (5.8S rRNA) is a component of the large subunit of the eukaryotic ribosome. It is transcribed by RNA polymerase I as part of the 45S precursor that also contains 18S and 28S rRNA. Lineage: Eukaryota; Viridiplantae; Streptophyta; Magnoliopsida; Rosales; Moraceae. The record is from RNAcentral.